AACGAACGCUGGCGGCGCGCCUAAUACAUGCAAGUCGAGCGAGAAGGUGUAGCAAUACACUUGUAAAGCGGCGAACGGGUGAGGAAUACAUGGGUAAUCUACCAUCGAGUGGGGAAUAACCAACCGAAAGGUUGGCUAAUACCGCGUACGCCUCCGAAUCUUCGGGUUCGGAGGGAAAGCUGCACUGUGAGUGUAGCGCUCUUUGAUGAGCUCAUGUCCUAUCAGCUUGUUGGUAGGGUAACGGCCUACCAAGGCUUUGACGGGUAGCUGGUCUGAGAGGACGAUCAGCCACACUGGCACUGCGACACGGGCCAGACUCCUACGGGAGGCAGCAGUAAGGAAUAUUGCGCAAUGGGCGAAAGCCUGACGCAGCGACGCCGCGU
This 383-nucleotide ribosomal RNA is filed under the name uncultured bacterium. RNAcentral's name for it is "bacterial SSU rRNA". It matches the Rfam family "Bacterial small subunit ribosomal RNA", at positions 29 to 402 of the family's 1533-position model. The record is from RNAcentral.